This 27-nucleotide ribosomal RNA is filed under the name Aloe vera (aloe-vera). RNAcentral's name for it is "partial 5.8S ribosomal RNA". Lineage: Eukaryota; Viridiplantae; Streptophyta; Magnoliopsida; Asparagales; Asphodelaceae. The record is from RNAcentral.
UGGUGUGAAUUGCAGAAUCCCGCGAAC